AUUGAACGCUGGCGGCAGGCCUAACACAUGCAAGUCGAACGGUAACAGGAAACAGCUUGCUGUCUCGCUGUCGAGUGGCGGACGUGUGAGACAUGUCUGGGAAACUGCUUGAUGGAGGGGGAUAACUACUGGAAACGGUAGCUAAUACCGCAUAACGUCGCAAGCCCAAAGAGGGGGACCUUCGGGCGUUUUGCCAUCGAAUGUGCCCAGAUGGGAUUCCGCAGUAGGUGGGUUAACGGCUCACCUCGGCGAAGGGCCCUAGUUGGUCUGUGAGGAUGACCAGGCAAACUGGGACUGGGACACGGUCCCGGCUCCUACGGGGGGCAGGAGUGGGGAAUAUUGCACAAUGGGCGGAAGCCUGAUGCAGCCAUGCCGCGUGUAUGAAGAAGGCCUUCGGGUUGUAAAGUACUUGCAGCUGGGAGGAAGGGAAUAAAGUUAAUACCUUUACUCAUUGACGUUAACCGCAGAAGAAGCACCGGCUAACUCCGUG
Molecule: ribosomal RNA, 490 nt
Filed under: uncultured bacterium
Lineage: Bacteria
Description: partial 16S ribosomal RNA
Rfam family: Bacterial small subunit ribosomal RNA
Source: RNAcentral